Molecule: ribosomal RNA, 374 nt
Filed under: uncultured eukaryote
Lineage: Eukaryota
Description: partial 18S ribosomal RNA
Rfam family: Eukaryotic small subunit ribosomal RNA
Source: RNAcentral
CAAUAGUGUAUACUAAAGUUGCUGCAGUUAAAAAGCUCGUAGUUGGAUUUCGGUUAAUAGGACAUUAGUCUACAUUAUUAUAUGUACGAACUGGUGUUUUAUUUCCUUCUUUUCAGAUAUCAAUGUAUUUUGAUUCUGAAUCUUUUACUUUGAGAAAAUUAGAGUGUUCAAAGCAGGCGUAACAUAGCCUUUGAAUAUAUUAGCAUGGGAUAAUGGAAUAAGACUUUUUGCCUUAUUUUCGUUGGUUAUUAGGGCUAAAGUAAUGAUUAAUAGGGAUAGUUGGGGUCAUUAGUAUUUAAUUGUCAGAGGUGAAAUUCUAAGAUUUAUUAAAGACUAACUACUGCGAAAGCAUUUGACAAGGAUGUUUUCAUUAA